GGAUGUGAGAGGCUUUCUGACUGUGACAUCUAUCACUCCAGAGGUCGCCGGAGUUGUCUGGCUGAUCUGGCUGGCUAGGAAGGUGUCCCCUUCCUCCCUCACUAAUCUAUGGGCAUCCCUUUCCCUGAAGCUUCAGUGUAAAAGGAAAACCACCCCCCAUAGAGGGGGACCUUUUCAUUUCCUUGGUCAACCCUACAGAGUACAGGAGUAGUUGUGCUCACCUGCUAGAACCUCUAAACAAGCUCUCAAGGAUAGCUGCAAUAGAGCUACACAAGGCAUUCAAAGUAGUCAGCACAGAAGAAAAACUCACUAUGUAGUCAGUUU
Molecule: unclassified non-coding RNA, 324 nt
Organism: Fukomys damarensis (Damara mole-rat)
Lineage: Eukaryota; Metazoa; Chordata; Mammalia; Rodentia; Bathyergidae
Gene: 7SK
Rfam family: 7SK RNA
About the family: 7SK was discovered as an abundant small nuclear RNA in the mid-70s but a possible function has only recently been suggested. Two independent studies have found that 7SK RNA binds the CDK9/cyclin T complex (known as elongation factor P-TEFb).
Source: Ensembl